UAGCAUAUCAAUAAGCGGAGGAAAAGAAACCAACAGGGAUUGCCUCAGUAACGGCGAGUGAAGCGGCAACAGCUCAAAUUUGAAAUCUGGCCCUAGGCCCGAGUUGUAAUUUGCAGAGGAUGCUUUUGGUGCGGUGCCUUCCAAGUUCCCUAGAACGGGACGCCAGAGAGGGUGAGAGCCCCGUACAGUUGGACACCAAGCCUUUGUAAAGCUCCUUCGACGAGUCGAGUAGUUUGGGAAUGCUGCUCAAAAUGGGAGGUAUAUUUCUUCUAAAGCUAAAUACCGGCCAGAGACCGAUAGCGCACAAGUAGAGUGAUCGAAAGAUGAAAAGCACUUUGAAAAGAGGGUUAAACAGCACGUGAAAUUGUUAAAAGGGAAGCGCUUGUGACCAGACUUGCGUCCGGUGAAUCACCCAGCUCUCGCGGCUGGGGCACUUCGCCGGCUCAGGCCAGCAUCAGCUCGCUGUCGGGGACAAAAGCUUCGGGAACGUAGCUCUCUUCGGGGAGUGUUAUAGCCUGUUGCAUAAUACCCUUCGGCGGGCUGAGGUACGCGCUCCGCAAGGAUGCUGGCAUAAUGGUCAUCAGCGACCCGUCUUGAAACACGGACCAAGGAGUCAACCUUAUGUGCGAGUGUUCGGGUGUCAAACCCCUACGCGUAAUGAAAGUGAACGCAGGUGAGAGCUUCGGCGCAUCAUCGACCGAUCCUGAUGUUCUCGGAUGGAUUUGAGUAAGAGCAUAUAGGGUUGGACCCGAAAGAAGGUGAACUAUGCGUGUAUAGGGUGAAGCCAGAGGAAACUCUGGUGGAGGCUCGCAGCGGUUCUGACGUGCAAAUCGAUCGUCAAAUAUGCGCAUGGGGGCGAAAGACUAAUCGAACCUUCUAGUAGCUGGUUUCCGCGA
Molecule: ribosomal RNA, 896 nt
Filed under: Colletotrichum gloeosporioides
Lineage: Eukaryota; Fungi; Ascomycota; Sordariomycetes; Glomerellales; Glomerellaceae
Description: LSU rRNA
Rfam family: Eukaryotic large subunit ribosomal RNA
Source: RNAcentral